RNAcentral lists this ribosomal RNA (425 nucleotides) under uncultured bacterium. RNAcentral describes it as "partial 16S ribosomal RNA". It matches the Rfam family "Bacterial small subunit ribosomal RNA", at positions 354 to 796 of the family's 1533-position model. The record is from RNAcentral.
GUUAGGAAUAUUGGACAAUGGGCGCAAGCCUGAUCCAGCAAUGCCGCGUGAGUGAUGAAGGCCUUAGGGUUGUAAAGCUCUUUCACCGGGGAAGAUAAUGACGGUACCCGGAGAAGAAGCCCCGGCUAACUCCGUGCUAGCAGCCGCGGUAAUACGGAGGGGGCUAGCGUUGUUCGGAAUUACUGGGCGUAAAGCGCGCGUAGGCGGCAUGACAAGUUGGAGGUGAAAGCCCGGAGCUCAACUUCGGAAUGGCCUUCAAGACUGUCUCGCUCGAGGCAGGGAGAGGAGAGCGGAAUACCCAGUGUAGAGGUGAAAUUCGUAGAUAUUGGGUGGAACACCGGUGGCGAAGGCGGCUCUCUGGCCCUGAUCUGACGCUAAGGCGCGAAAGCGUGGGGAGCAAACAGGAUUAGAUACCCUUGUAGUCC